Molecule: ribosomal RNA, 254 nt
Filed under: uncultured bacterium
Lineage: Bacteria
Description: partial 16S ribosomal RNA
Rfam family: Bacterial small subunit ribosomal RNA
Source: RNAcentral
UACGUAGGGGGCGAGCGUUGUCCGGAUUUAUUGGGCGUAAAGGGCUCGUAGGUGGUUCGCCAAGUCGGAUGUGAAAUCUCCAGGCUCAACCUGGAGCGGCCAUUCGAUACUGGCGUGACUUGAGUUCGGUAGGGGAUCACGGAAUACCUGGUGUAGCGGUGAAAUGCGCAGAUAUCAGGUGGAACACCGAUGGCGAAGGCAGUGAUCUGGGCCGAAACUGACGCUGAGGAGCGAAAGCGUGGGUAGCAAACAGG